RNA transcript from Ictalurus furcatus (blue catfish), 3773 nucleotides. It is a transcript of the gene named TAR DNA binding protein a, with no coding region annotated. The record is from RefSeq and is a predicted model, not a curated record. The transcript is spliced from 6 exons. NCBI's taxonomy places the organism in Eukaryota, Metazoa, Chordata, Actinopteri, Siluriformes, Ictaluridae.
GUCUUCAUGGCUUUGCAGUUUCUCGGUAAUUAACAUUUCAGUAAUGGGUUAUUUUCCUAUAAAUAGCAGUGUUAUUCCUUACUUAUCAGCUCUAGCUACAGUUGUAUUGUUUGUAAAGUAUAUAAUCAAAACAUCUACAUUUUGGACUCUCAGGAAUGUAAAAAGGUGUGUAUUAUUUCUGCUUCAACAGAAACCCACCACAGGGUUUUUCUCAUGUAACCAGCCGCCUCACCAGCAACCACAUUAACAAAUACCAAUCCUUAUCCCUGUCUGUAUGUUGGUUUAUCCGCGCUUAAAUGUGAUAGGACUACAGAAUUUUGUGCUCGCCGUACAACAAUGGGUAAGUGUUAAAUAACUCGUUCAAAAUUUAAGUCAUUUUAAAACACAAUACUUAAUAUACAAUUAUUUAACAAACAACGAUCUGUAUAUUGAAAAUUAUCGCUUUAAAGACUGAAAUAACCUACGUCUGAUACAAAAUGAUAUAUAAAAGUAUUAACGUCUACCCCUCCUGUCUACGCUCUGAUGGUACCUUCCAGAUGAUGACGCACUUUCUUCGACGAGUCCGCUCGAGCGGCCAUUUUGAUAGAAGUUUGAGGUUAGAAAAAUAGACCGGGGUAUUUGUUUGAGUUUCGUGUAAAAAUACAUUUACUCCGGGAAAUUUAAAUUUACAGUGCAGAUUCAUUAUUUAACGAACUCCAGUUUGUGGUUGCAAGAACCCUAAAAAUAAGACCGGUUAGACGAGAAAACUGAGAGCGCGAAAAAAAUACCCUUUCUAUCAUUCAUUGCGCGAGCUUGAGGCCCUCUUUCAUCCUUCAUGGACGAUAGUUAGCAGCGACGUUUUAUGGGAGUAUAAGCGUUCAUCUGUUUAUCUGAUAUUUGUAUUGUUAUCUGUGAUAAUAAUUUUGGUAGAUAACGCAUACUACAGUGUGCAUUGUUUACAUUUUCGUUUCAGUAGGCACUGUGUUUACAACGUCCCGCCGUAAAGCUAGCUAAGCUAGCUAACUAAAUUAUUUACCGUGGUGGCUAACGUAUUAGCUAGCUAGCUAGCACAAAGCGCCCACCUACCCUAACGUCCAGUACUAGCUAGCAACCACCGCGAUUUCGCAUUAAAAUCAUGGAAACGUGUUAUAUCCGUGUGGCUGAGGAUGAAAACGAGGAGCCAAUGGAAAUUCCCUCCGAGGAGGACGGGACGGUGCUGUUGUCCAGCGUGGCGGCGCAGUUUCCAGGCGCGUGCGGCCUGCGUUACCGGAAUCCGGUGUCUCAGUGCAUGCGGGGAGUGCGCUUAGUGGAGGGAGUGCUGCAUGCACCGGAGGCCGACUGGGGCAACCUGGUGUACGUAGUCAACUACCCAAAAGACAAUAAAAGAAAGAUGGAUGAAAUGGAUGCUGCUUCUGCUGUGAAAAUUAAGAGGGGCAUUCAGAAGACUUCAGACUUGAUUGUUCUUGGGUUGCCAUGGAAAACAUCUGAGCAAGACCUGAAAGAGUAUUUCAGCACAUUUGGAGAGGUGAUAAUGGUACAGGUUAAGAGAGAUGCAAAAACAGGAAAUUCUAAAGGAUUUGGCUUUGUAAGGUUUACAGACUAUGAGACACAGAUUAAAGUGAUGUCCCAGCGGCAUAUGAUUGAUGGGAGAUGGUGUGACUGCAAGCUCCCCAACUCAAAGUACUUCAUGGAACAGGCUGGGCUAGAUGAGCCUAUGCGGAGUAGGAAAGUGUUUGUGGGCCGAUGUACUGAGGACAUGACUGCUGAUGACCUCAGGCAGUUCUUUAUGCAGUACGGUGAAGUCACCGAUGUCUUCAUUCCUAAGCCUUUCCGAGCAUUCGCCUUUGUCACUUUUGCCGAUGACCAGGUUGCCCAGUCUCUGUGUGGUGAGGACCUGAUCAUCAAGGGCACCAGCGUACACAUCUCUAACGCAGAGCCUAAGCACAAUAAUAGUAGGCACAUGUUGGAUCGUGCUCGUUUUGGGGGGUUUGGGCAGGGCUUUGGCGGUAGUCGCAGUCAUAGCAGCAAUGUGAAUUUUGGGGCUCUUAGCUUAAACCCAGCCAUGAUGGCAGCAGCCCAGGCAGCCCUCCAGAGCAGCUGGGGAAUGAUGGGUAUGCUGGCCAAUCAGCAGGGUCAGACGGCUGCCUCUGGUACCACUGCAGCCGGCCAAACAGCAGGUAGCAGAGAUCAGGGCCAGGGCUAUAGCGCGGCCGGCAGCAAUUAUAAUGCCACCAGCUCAGCUAGUCUCGGGUGGGGUGCGAAUAACGCAGCCUCCAGCGGUGGCUUUAGCUCUGGCUUUGGCUCCAGUAUGGAGACCAAGUCUAGUUGGGGAAUGUAAAGAGCUACUUUGUUUUUGCAGUGUCCUUAUUUCUAAAUUAGGUAAGUACUUUUGAGAUGAGAGUUUGCAGGCAGAUGUUAUUUUUCUUGUAUUUAGAAGAUAUUUGCUUCUGUGUUUUGUUUAAAAGAUGUUAUACAUGAAGAAAAACUUUAUAAAAUUGAUUGGAUUAAAUCGUAAGAGUGGUAUGAACACUACGUAGAAAAUCUAAUUUGUUUUCAUUGAUUAUUUUGGUUAAAACUUGAUAUUUCAUUGCAUUUCAGUGUUUAUGAACUGUACUUAGAGAUGCUUUGUUGUGAAUCUGACUUGAGUUGUAUUGUGUGGAGUUGUUUGCAUUUUUUUGAGUUUAUGGUCAAGCCUUCAUAAAUCUCUUCUACAGUUCACCACCUCUUUUCCCAUUUCCCUGGAAGAAGCGCUUCGUUGGCCGCAAUGUUCGAGCGAUCUCAGUAUCAGUACCCUUCUUCCCAUGUGUAAAUGCUUUGCCAUCAAAGAACACAGCUUCACUCUUCAUUUACUGUGUUAGACGGGACCUUGGACUCCGCUGGCCCAGGUUUACAUCAGAUCCCAGAGUGAAGUCAGUUUUGGGGAAGCUGAAGACCGGAGUUGGUGUAGUGUUGGCGGCUCCAACACAAUCCAACUGUGGAGAUGCUGCUGAUUGCCUUAGACCUGAAAAGGGACUUCUUCACUUCACUGUAACAGGAUCCCUGGAAUCUCUAUUGAAAUUUAAAUGGACUAUUUCAAAUUGGCUGGAGCACAUAGGAAAAGAAACCCAAUUGAAAAUAAAGGGUAAAGAAUAUUGUCAUGGAACAAUGCCUGAGCCCUUCAGUCCCGUUUCAAGUGACACUCAUACUUUUCAUUUUGUAAAUGACUCAUUGUUUAAUUGUGCUAUUAGGUUUUUUCUCUUUUGUUUGUUUAAAACUGUCACCAAUGGCAGGUUCAUCAGUUGUAAUUUUUAAGUGGUCUGAUAUUUCUAAAAGUGGGAAAGACGCAUCCCCUACCCCCACCCCUUACACCCUCAAGAACAGCAGCCUGCAAGUUUUCUUGUUUCUGUCAUGAGAAAGUUGUAAAGAUCUCGGGGAGUUGUGAAAUCUUUGGACUGUAAUGGGGAUUUUGAAGUGAAUGGUGUGAAUUUCUGGUAAUUUUCAAUAAACAGACUCAUACAAAUCUUUAAUACUGUAUUUUAAGAUUUUAUCCAGUUUUCUAUAAGUUUGAUUUUAGUUAUUUAACGUGUAAAAUGAAUCAAAAUUUUCAAGCAAAUGUUUUACCUAUCUAGAGUGCUGGGGGAGGGGGUUAGUUUAGGAAAGUUUAUGAAGUGAGAUUAGAGAACUAGAGUAAUGAAGGGACAUGUGCUUAUGAUUGAGUGUAAAUUGGCCAAAUAAAUGUCUUUUUUUUAUUAUUUUUUAGGAUGGUUUGGAAUCUUGUUUAGUUUUUGAGAGAUAUAAAAAGCUUAAUACACAUA